UUGUUUAUACUAUGGGAUUGGUCAAAUCUUGGUUUAAACAUAUUUCCAGGGAUCACAUGUAAAUGUGCUGAGACUUCAUCCUUGAAUGCAAGACUUGUCAGAGAGGGAAUUCCUAAGUCUCUUCUCCUUGACAGCUGGAAGAGGAGACUGAGAACAAGUUGGGAGAACUAGGCUCCUCCGCUGAGAGCAAGGGGGCCUUGAAGAAGGAGAGAGAGGUGCACCAGAAGCUCCUGGCCGACAGUCACAGCCUGGUCAUGGACUUGCGCUGGCAGAUCCAUCACAGCGAGAAGAACUGGCACCGGGAGAAGGUGGAACUUCUCGACCGCCUGGACAGAGAUCGGCAGGAGUGGGAGCGGCAGAAGAAGGAACUCUUGUGGAGGAUAGAGCAGUUGCAGAAAGAGAACAGUCCCCGGAGAGGUGGCAGUUUCCUCUGUGAUCAAAAAGACGGCAACGUUCGCCCCUUUCCCCACCAGGGAAGCCUCCACAUGCCCCGUCCUGUGGCCAUGUGGCCUUGUGCAGACGCCGACUCCAUCCCGUUUGAAGACCGGCCACUGUCCAAGCUGAAGGAGUCGGACAGGUGCUCGGCCAGUGAGAAUCU
RNAcentral lists this small RNA (598 nucleotides) under Pongo abelii (Sumatran orangutan). RNAcentral's name for it is "retained intron". Lineage: Eukaryota; Metazoa; Chordata; Mammalia; Primates; Hominidae. The record is from RNAcentral.